RNAcentral lists this ribosomal RNA (272 nucleotides) under uncultured bacterium. Its description in RNAcentral is "partial 16S ribosomal RNA". It matches the Rfam family "Bacterial small subunit ribosomal RNA", at positions 524 to 794 of the family's 1533-position model. The record is from RNAcentral.
UACGGAGGGUGCGAGCGUUAAUCGGAAUUACUGGGCGUAAAGGGCGCGUAGGCGGCUGAUCAAGUCAGGUGUGAAAGCCCACGGCUUAACCGUGUGAAGUGCAUCUGAAACUGGUCGGCUUGAGUAUCGGAGAGGAAAGUGGAAUUCCCGGUGUAGAGGUGAAAUCCGUAGAUAUCAGGAGGAACACCGGUGGCGAAGGCGGCCACCUGGACAGGUACUGACGCUGAGGUACGAAAGCGUGGGGAGCAAACAGGAUUAGAAACCCCAGUAGU